CGGACGGGUGAGUAACGCGUAGGAAUCUACCGAGUAGUGGGGGACAACAGUUGGAAACGACUGCUAAUACCGCAUAAUCCCUGAGGGGCAAAGGAGGGGAUCUGUUUACAGACCUUUCGCUAUUUGAUGAGCCUGCGUGAGAUUAGCUAGUUGGUGAGGUAAUGGCUCACCAAGGCGACGAUCUCUAGCUGGUCUGAGAGGAUGAUCAGCCACACUGGAACUGAGACACGGUCCAGACUCC
Molecule: ribosomal RNA, 241 nt
Filed under: uncultured bacterium
Lineage: Bacteria
Description: partial 16S ribosomal RNA
Rfam family: Bacterial small subunit ribosomal RNA
Source: RNAcentral